Molecule: ribosomal RNA, 453 nt
Filed under: uncultured Gammaproteobacteria bacterium
Lineage: Bacteria; Pseudomonadati; Pseudomonadota; Gammaproteobacteria
Description: bacterial SSU rRNA
Rfam family: Bacterial small subunit ribosomal RNA
Source: RNAcentral
UUAAGUCCCGCAACGAGCGCAACCCUUAUCCUUAGUUGCCAGCACGUAAUGGUGGGAACUCUAGGGAGACUGCCGGUGACAAACCGGAGGAAGGUGGGGACGACGUCAAGUCAUCAUGGCCCUUAUGGGCUGGGCUACACACGUGCUACAAUGGGCGGUACAGAGGGCCGCGAAGCCGCGAGGUGGAGCAAAUCUCAGAAAACCGUUCUUAGUCCGGAUCGCAGUCUGCAACUCGACUGCGUGAAGUUGGAAUCGCUAGUAAUCGCGGAUCAGAACGUCGCGGUGAAUACGUUCCCGGGCCUUGUACACACCGCCCGUCACACCAUGGGAGUGGGUUGCACCAGAAGUAGCUAGACUAACCUUCGGGAAGUCGGUUACCACGGUGUGAUUCAUGACUGGGGUGAAGUCGUAACAAGGUAGCCGUAGGGGAACCUGCGGCUGGAUCACCUCCUU